This 2209-nucleotide ribosomal RNA is filed under the name Phocaeicola sartorii. RNAcentral describes it as "bacterial LSU rRNA". It matches the Rfam family "Bacterial large subunit ribosomal RNA", at positions 689 to 2925 of the family's 2925-position model. Lineage: Bacteria; Pseudomonadati; Bacteroidota; Bacteroidia; Bacteroidales; Bacteroidaceae. The record is from RNAcentral.
AGGGCGCCUGAGUCGGCAGUGGCAGACGCGAAACCAAGUGAUCUACCCUUGACCAGGUUGAAGGCUGGGUAACACCAGCUGGAGGACCGAACCAAUAAGCGUUGAAAAGCUUCUGGAUGAGUUGAGGGUAGGGGUGAAAGGCUAAUCAAACUUGGAGAUAGCUCGUACUCCCCGAAAUGCAUUUAGGUGCAGCCUUGCGGGUUACUGAUGUGAGGUAGAGCGACUGAUAAGAUGCGAGGGCUUCACCGCCUAUCAAGUCUUGACAAACUCCGAAUGCGCAUCAGUUUUACCGCAGGAGUGAGGGCAUGGGUGCUAAGGUCCGUGCCCGAGAGGAGAAGAAUCCGGACCACCUGCUAAGGUCCCGAAAUGACAGCUAAGUUAAACUAACGAAGUCGGACUGCCAUGACAGCUAGGAUGUUGGCUUGGAAGCAGCCAUUCAUUUAAAGAGUGCGUAACAGCUCACUAGUCGAGGAGUCCGGCGUGGAUAAUAAUCGGGUAUUAAGUUGUCUACCGAAGCAGUGGGAUCAUGUAAAUGAUCGGUAGGGGAGCAUUCCACCCGGCGUCGAAGGCGUACCGUGAGGUAUUCUGGAGCGUGUGGAAAAGCAAAUGUAGGUAUAAGUAACGAUAAAGCAGGUGAGAAACCUGCUCGCCGCAAGACCAAGGUUUCCUGAUCAACGCUAAUCGGAUCAGGGUCAGUCGGGUCCUAAGGCUCAGCCGAACGGCGAGGCCGAUGGCAGAAACGGUUAAUAUUCCGUUACUACCUUUACGGGCGAUGUGGAGACGCAGAAGUGACAGUGCCGCCAUCUGACGGAAUAGAUGGUUGAAGGGUGUAGAAGCUGAUCGUGGCAGGCAAAUCCACCACGUGAUUCGAACCUGAGAGUAUGCCGCGUCCUCCGGGACAAGGCAAUAGUGCACGUAAGCAUACUGCCGAGAAAAUCCGCUAAGCUAUACCGUAAAGGUACCCGUACCGUAAACGGACACACGUGGUCGGGAUGAAUAUUCUAAGGCGCUUGAGUGAUUCACGGUUAAGGAACUAGGCAAACUGACCCUGUAACUUCGGGAUAAAGGGUCCCUCCUCGCAAGAGAGGGCGCAGAGAAUAGGUCCAGGCAACUGUUUAACAAAAACACAGGGCUGUGCGAAAUCGAAAGAUCCGGUAUACAGCCUGACACCUGCCCGGUGCUGGAAGGUUAAGAGGAGACGUCAUCGCAAGAGAAGCGUUGAAUUGAAGCCCCAGUAAACGGCGGCCGUAACUAUAACGGUCCUAAGGUAGCGAAAUUCCUUGUCGGGUAAGUUCCGACCUGCACGAAUGGUGUAAUGAUCUGGACGCUGUCUCAACCGUGAGCUCAGUGAAAUUGUAGUAUCGGUGAAGAUGCCGAUUACCCGCGAUGGGACGAAAAGACCCCGUGAACCUUUACUAUAGCUUAUCAUUGAAUUUGGGCACGUGAUGUGUAGGAUAGGUCGGAGGCUUUGAAGCAGGUACGCCAGUAUUUGUGGAGCCGCUGUUGAAAUACGACCCUUCAUUUGUUUGAGUUCUAACUCGUGAUGCGAGGACACUGAUUGGUGGGUAGUUUGACUGGGGUGGUCGCCUCCAAAAGUGUAACGGAGGCUUCUAAAGGUGCCCUCACGGCGAUUGGUAACCGCCGGGAGAGUGUAAUGGCAUAAGGGCGCUUGACUGGGAGACUCACAAGUCGAGCAGGUAGGAAACUAGAGCAUAGUGAUCCGGUGUUUCCGUAUGGAAGGGACAUCGCUCAAAGGAUAAAAGGUACUCCGGGGAUAACAGGCUGAUCCCUCCCAAGAGCUCAUAUCGACGGAGUGGUUUGGCACCUCGAUGUCGGCUCGUCACAUCCUGGGGCUGGAGAAGGUCCCAAGGGUUGGGCUGUUCGCCCAUUAAAGUGGCACGCGAGCUGGGUUCAGAACGUCGUGAGACAGUUCGGUCUCUAUCUAUCGUGGGCGUAUGAAAUUUGCGUGGCUCUGACACUAGUACGAGAGGACCGUGUUGGACUGACCUCUGGUUUACCGGUUGUGCCGCCAGGUGCAUCGCCGGGUAUCCAAGUCGGGAUCGGAUAAGUGCUGAAAGCAUCUAAGUACGAAGCCGGCCACAAGAUUAGAUUUCUCAGGGUCGUUGCAGACGACGACGUUGAUAGGAUGCAGGUGUAAAGAUGGAGACAUCAAAGCCGAGCAUUACUAAUUGCCCGUCCACUUUCUUUA